RNAcentral lists this ribosomal RNA (301 nucleotides) under uncultured bacterium. RNAcentral's name for it is "partial 16S ribosomal RNA". It matches the Rfam family "Bacterial small subunit ribosomal RNA", at positions 509 to 807 of the family's 1533-position model. The record is from RNAcentral.
CAGUCGCCACGGUAAUACGUAGGUGGCAAGCGUUGUCCGGAAUUAUUGGGCGUAAAGCGCGCACAGGUGGUUUAAUAAGUCUGAUGUGAAAGCCCACGGCUCAACCGUGGAGGGUCAUUGGAAACUGUUAAACUUGAGUGCAGGAGAGAAAAGUGGAAUUCCUAGUGUAGCGGUGAAAUGCGUAGAGAUUAGGAGGAACACCAGUGGCGAAGGCGGCUUUUUGGCCUGUAACUGACACUGAGGCGCGAAAGCGUGGGGAGCAAACAGGAUUAGAUACCCCGGUAGUCCCUGUCUCUUAUAC